AGUACCCUGCCUGGUACGUGGUUACGAGCCAAAUCUCUGACCCGUUAAUGAUGCUACCAGGGAGCUUGAAUUCAGCGGCGCCCUUAGGCCCUUUCAUGCCAUAGGCAGAUCCGCCUUUGGCGGAAAGCAAGGGAUCUGGAACCCACUGGCUAAAGCACCCACUUUGUUCUGCGGAACAGAGCUUGACUUCGUCACGGCCAAGGUGGGGUAUUC
This 213-nucleotide non-coding RNA is filed under the name Verrucomicrobiota bacterium. RNAcentral describes it as "Verrucomicrobia bacterium (groundwater metagenome) 6S RNA". It matches the Rfam family "6S / SsrS RNA". From Rfam's summary of the family: E. coli 6S RNA was the first non coding RNA to be sequenced, but its function was unknown until recently. It consists of 184 nucleotides that fold into an extended hairpin structure with a large single-stranded internal bulge. The record is from RNAcentral. Lineage: Bacteria; Pseudomonadati; Verrucomicrobiota.